This 859-nucleotide transfer RNA is filed under the name Synechococcus sp. CB0104. RNAcentral describes it as "16S-23S ribosomal RNA intergenic spacer". The stretch from base 376 to 448 matches the Rfam family "tRNA". Lineage: Bacteria; Bacillati; Cyanobacteriota; Cyanophyceae; Synechococcales; Synechococcaceae. The record is from RNAcentral.
CAGGGAGACAAUCACUGAUCAUGAUGUCUGAGCGCUGAGAACGAGUGAGUCCUUGUGGCUGCUGGUAGGAAGCACAAAUUGUCUCAGGCCAUGGUCCUGUCAUCUCGAAGGUCGAUCGGUACCUCAAGGAACCAAGCAGAGAGCUGAGGAGAGUCUGAGCAGUUCAAUCCGCAAGGGUUGGGAUGUGAGGGCAGGAGUCGGUGAGACUGGGAGGUUUUUUCAGUUCCUAAACGUUGUCUAGGUCACCCCCCAAAGGGUAAGCCUAAGCCCAGAAAGGGUUUAGAAAUCUCCUGGGCCAUUAGCUCAGGUGGUUAGAGCGCACCCCUGAUAAGGGUGAGGUCCCUGGUUCAAGUCCAGGAUGGCCCAUUCAUGUCUGGGGGUUUAGCUCAGUUGGUAGAGCGCCUGCUUUGCAAGCAGGAUGUCAGCGGUUCGAGUCCGCUAACCUCCAUUCAACUGUAGGUCCCCAGCGUAGGAGAAGGAUCCUGAGGGAGACGUGACCAAGACGGAACCGGUGUCGCAAGCCAAGACACGACUCCAGCCUCAUGCCCGCAGUGAUGCAGGCAUGAAGCUGGACUCACGGUGAAUCGAAGGAUUCACGGAGGGUUUGGCGAAGAACCUUGACAACUGCAUAGGUGAAUCUGGAAAUAAAGCAUCUCAUGGAUGUUUGAUUUCAGUUGGGCUGAGAAGUCCAGAUGGGAUCAAAGCAAUUCUAUGAAGUCAAGAGCCGAGAACUUCCAGUGUUCUUCCUGCUCCGCCGAGGAGUGGGGAGUUUGAUCCUUGAUUCCAACCGCAACCGCAAGGGAGCAGGUGAAUCAUGAGAGAAUAGGCCUCAACAGCCUGAAGCACUGGGAGAUGUAAU